This 270-nucleotide ribosomal RNA is filed under the name uncultured bacterium. RNAcentral's name for it is "partial 16S ribosomal RNA". It matches the Rfam family "Bacterial small subunit ribosomal RNA", at positions 84 to 353 of the family's 1533-position model. The record is from RNAcentral.
UUUGAUGGCGACCGGCGCACGGGUGAGUAACACGUAUCCAACCUGCCGAUGACUCGGGGAUAGCCUUUCGAAAGAAAGAUUAAUACCCGAUGGCAUAGUUCUUCCGCAUGGUAGAACUAUUAAAGGAUUUCGGUCAUCGAUGGGGAUGCGUUCCAUUAGGUUGUUGGCGGGGUAACGGCCCACCAAGCCUUCGAUGGAUAGGGGCUCUGAGAGGAAGGUCCCCCACAUUGGAACUGAGACACGGUCCAAACUCCUACGGGAGGCAGCAUG